Molecule: ribosomal RNA, 468 nt
Filed under: uncultured bacterium
Lineage: Bacteria
Description: partial 16S ribosomal RNA
Rfam family: Bacterial small subunit ribosomal RNA
Source: RNAcentral
GACGAACGCUGGCGGCGUGCUUAACACAUGCAAGUCGAACGGAAAGGCCUUCUUUCCGUGGUGUGUCGGGGGGCCUAACGUGUGAGUAAGAUGAGUACAACGUGCUCUAUAUUUUCGGAGAUUUUCACGAAGCUUGGGCUACUACCUUAUAUCAGCUCCCGCUCUAUGGUGUGGUGUGGAUAGUUUCAGCGGUUGGGGUUGGACUCGCGGAUUAUCAGUUUGUUGGUGGGGUUGUGGCUUACCAAGGCUUUGACAGGUAGCCGGCCUGAGAGGGUGACUGGCCACAUUGGAACUGAGAUACGGCCCAGACUCCUACGGGAGGCAGCAGUGGGGAAUAUUACACAAUGGGCGGAAGCCUGAUGCAGCAACGCCGCGUUCGGGAUGACGGCCUUCGGGCUGUAAACCGCUUUCGCCUGUGACGAAGCGUGAGUGACGGUAAUGGGUAAAGAAGCACCGGCUAACUACGUG